This is a non-coding RNA of Felis catus (domestic cat), 85 nucleotides long. The record is from Rfam. Lineage: Eukaryota; Metazoa; Chordata; Mammalia; Carnivora; Felidae.
GCCUGGGUGGCUCAGUCGGUUGAGCGUCCGACUUCGGCUCAGGUCAUGAUCUCACAGUCUGUGGGUUUGAGCCCCGCGUCGGGCU